UUACGGCCACAUCGCGUUGAGACAUUGAUUCCCGUACGAUCACCAAAGUUAAGCAACGUCAAGCCUGCUCAGUACCUAGAUGAGUGGCCGCUUGGGAAUACCAAGUGCCGUAA
Non-coding RNA from Acanthosepion pharaonis, 113 nucleotides. NCBI's taxonomy places the organism in Eukaryota, Metazoa, Mollusca, Cephalopoda, Sepiida, Sepiidae. The record is from the annotation of a GenBank genome assembly.